UACAGGGGGUGCAAACGUUGCUCGGAAUCAUUGGGCGUAAAGCGCACGUAGGCGGUUCGUUAUGUCGGAUGUGAAAGCCCUUGGCUUAACCGAGGAAGUGCAUCCGAAACUGGCGAGCUAGAGUACGAAAGAGGAUCGCGGAAUUCCCGGUGUAGAGGUGAAAUUCGUAGAUAUCGGGAGGAACACCGGUGGCGAAGGCGGCGAUCUGGGUCGAUACUGACGCUGAGGUGUGAAAGCGUGGGGAGCAAACAGG
RNAcentral lists this ribosomal RNA (253 nucleotides) under uncultured bacterium. Its description in RNAcentral is "partial 16S ribosomal RNA". It matches the Rfam family "Bacterial small subunit ribosomal RNA", at positions 524 to 776 of the family's 1533-position model. The record is from RNAcentral.